Small nucleolar RNA from Manis pentadactyla (Chinese pangolin), 72 nucleotides. RefSeq annotates it as small nucleolar RNA SNORD113/SNORD114 family. The record is from RefSeq and is a predicted model, not a curated record. The transcript has a single exon. NCBI's taxonomy places the organism in Eukaryota, Metazoa, Chordata, Mammalia, Pholidota, Manidae.
UAGACCAGUGAUAAAUAUUCUGAGAUGUAUGAAUCCAGGAUUUUGAUUCAACUCUGCAACUUUGAGGCCUAU